UCCUUUUGUAUGAAUUGGUGCUUUCUGAAGU
RNAcentral lists this non-coding RNA (31 nucleotides) under Mus musculus (house mouse). Lineage: Eukaryota; Metazoa; Chordata; Mammalia; Rodentia; Muridae. The record is from RNAcentral.